GGGAUGUGCUCAGAGAAGGGGGCCUGAAGAAAUGACUCCUCUGUUUACAACACACCCAACAGGAAUCUGGGUUCAUUGUGACAAAUGGCACAAAACUUGGGGCCUUCCUAUGAACACAUACCCUACACAU
Molecule: small nucleolar RNA, 130 nt
Organism: Camelus dromedarius (Arabian camel)
Lineage: Eukaryota; Metazoa; Chordata; Mammalia; Artiodactyla; Camelidae
Source: Ensembl